Myodes glareolus (Bank vole) is the source of this 1562-nucleotide non-coding RNA. Lineage: Eukaryota; Metazoa; Chordata; Mammalia; Rodentia; Cricetidae. The record is from RefSeq and is a predicted model, not a curated record.
GAACAGGAAGUGACGUUAUACUCUCCGUUCCUUAGAGAGUCCCGACGGAAGCGGAGGAAAUUUAGGCCCAACUCUUGGUUCCGGAGCAGAGUCUGCAGGUUAAAGGUCCGGCACGCCCCGCACCACCACGCCCAGGUGUUCCAUGUUUCUGUGAGGAUCUCUGGUUUUUCCUGCAUAGUGGCCGAUCAGGUUUUUCCUCCUUGGUGUAGAAAGCUGUGAAAGCAUGAGGCUUGGCGUAAAUGACGACUAGCAGUCUGUCUUGAGAAGCCAGACAUUUUAUUUCAUGAGUCACAAUGUUGGGGCUGUACAAGGAAACACCAAGCUGUCAUUGACCACAUCUUACAUUCCACACAGCAGGAGAGAGUGAGGGAAACCAGUGAUGAGAGACAACUAAUAGUGGUCCCCAAUGUCACCAUUUGACCUUCUUAUUCUGGUUAUUCUUGGAACCACUUCAUCUAGCCUUGGACACACAGAUCAGUGCCUUGCUCAGCCAUCAUCAGAGAAGUUUCUCCCUGCAUCAGAUGGGAACUAAUACAGAAACCUACAGACAGACAUUCACUUUGGAUUCAGAUGUUCAGUUCCAAAUACUGUAAUGCAAAAUAUUACUGUCAAGGAAAGACAUCCAGGAAUGAAGAGAGGAUGGAGUACUUACCCAGUUAUCUUGUAAGUGGACAUGGUUACAAGAAACGCAGAAUCUCCGCCUUUUCAGGAACCAGAACUGAGCAGGAAGGGACAUUUCUAGGUCAUCCAUGGCAUAAGAACUUCCAAAGGAAAAACAAAACAAUGAAAACAGGAGUCAGAAAGCAAUGCAGAUAAAGGUCACUAUCCCUGGGCUUUACGUCAAGCCUCAACACAGCAGUUCAGUGAUUCGGUGGCCUUGCUGUAAAAACCUAAUAGACUUAGUCUGCUAAGAAGCUACAGUUUUGAUAGCUUUAAGAUGACUGCGUUAUUCUUGUUCAACAGUCUUGGACCUCCACUGAGGGCUAAUAAGUCUAUGAAUACUGAAAUUAUUCUCCGUUAAGAAAAAUCUCUCCAAGUUGAAUUAGCAGGAGCUAAUGAAGUCUGAUUACUUUUAAGGAUUUUAUUUGAUAAUAAAUUAUAUAUAUCUAUGUGUGUGUGUGUGUGUGUCUGUGUGUGUACACAAGUACAGUGCCCACAGAUCCCAUAAGAGGGCGACAGAUUCCCCUGGAGCUGGAGCUAAGGCUUUGCUGUGAACUGAUAGGUGUGGGUACUAACCACACUCAGGCCCUCCAGCCCCUGAGUGACAUCAUUUCAGAAGGUCAGCGAGUCGUCUCAGAAGCUGACUUCCACAAACCUCUUAACCAGCUCAGUGCACUAAAGCUUAGUUAAGAAAGCAGUGUUUUCAGGUCAUUUUGUCAAAUUAAAUCUAGAACUUUCUGACUCUGUGAAUCCAGAAAAUCAUUUAAUAUGUUUGCAUCUAAGCUUCUGUCGUUAAGUGGCCUGGUAUUCAUGCUAUACACACAGAGUGGAUGGUAAGGAUUCAAGUGCCCUGGGCUCACAGAUGCUAUUAGUGGCGCACAGCGGAGCUCAGUGGUUAUUGC